UGGAACAAGGCUGGAGAUGGCCAAAGAGACUUGAAUCGGCUAAGGUCUAUAUGAAGACUUUCGAGGUCUAGCCUCGAAUCUUCAAAGAGCAAGCGUAUAGGAGCAGGAGAGGGUGAGUAAAGAUCAUCCAUGGCUAGAUUAGCAAUGGAUUAUGGUGGAUUUGAGGUCGGAAAGGGAGGUAGGUGGAUGUUAGGUUUCAUAGGUCGAGAGGGUUCAAGAGAGACGAAGGAAACAAAG
Molecule: long non-coding RNA, 237 nt
Filed under: Nicotiana benthamiana
Lineage: Eukaryota; Viridiplantae; Streptophyta; Magnoliopsida; Solanales; Solanaceae
Description: long non-coding RNA (NBEN_LNC024597)
Source: RNAcentral